Molecule: ribosomal RNA, 434 nt
Filed under: uncultured bacterium
Lineage: Bacteria
Description: bacterial SSU rRNA
Rfam family: Bacterial small subunit ribosomal RNA
Source: RNAcentral
GGGAGGCAGCAGUGGGGAAUAUUGGUGAAUGGGCGAAAGCCCGACCCAGCAACGCCGCGUGUGCGAAGAAGGCCUUCGGGUUGUAAAGCACUUUUUAGCGGGAAGAGGAAGGACGGUACCGCUAGAACAAGUCUCGGCUAACUACGUGCCAGCAGCCGCGGUAACACGUAGGAGACGAGCGUUAUCCGGAUUUACUGGGUGUAAAGCGCGUGUAGGCGGUCGAGUAAGUUGGAUGUGAAAGCUCCCGGCUCAACUGGGAGAGGUCGUUCAAUACUGCUUGGCUAGAGGACAGCAGAGGGGAGUGGAAUUCCGAGUGUAGCGGUAAAAUGCAUAGAUAUUCGGGAGAACACCAGUGGCGAAGGCGGCUCUCUGGGCUGGACCUGACGCUCAGACGCGAAAGCUAGGGUAGCAAACGGGAUUAGAUACCCCAGUAC